Meleagris gallopavo (turkey) is the source of this 1884-nucleotide non-coding RNA. The record is from RefSeq and is a predicted model, not a curated record. NCBI's taxonomy places the organism in Eukaryota, Metazoa, Chordata, Aves, Galliformes, Phasianidae.
GUCACCUGUGUGGUAAUGGGCUGCAUGGCAGGAUCUCCUUGUGAGCAGGGAUACCUUGUGUGGAGAUCUCUUAUGCUUUGACAUCGAGAGAUUCCUUGCCAUUACAGAUCCUUGCAGAGAACCUAACUGGAGGGUUAGAUGAGCAGUGAAAAGCAUCAUUAAAGCAAAACAAGCACAACCGUCAAAACCAUGUAGUAGUCCCUGUCAAGAGUAGUUGGAAGAAUCAGGCUGAAAGAACCUUUAUUUUGACCUGAUAAACUUUUUCCUGAGUUCUGAAGCAUUUUUUUCUUCUUUCUGGUGCAUAAAUUUAUUAAUCUUUGUACUCCAUGUCUGGCAUGAUUUGGAAUCAUCUUCUCAAUUUGCCUCUGAAUACCCACAGAUAUUUAGUCUUAAGCCUGAUCUUUUCUGUACUUUCCCCAGUAAACUUUGUUUAGAUUUAAACGCCACAGUUUUCCUGUAUCUUUUGUGGUGGACUUGAGGAGCUAUGCCUUUUCUUCCUGCCCCAUUUUUUUUGUCCUUCAGAAAUCCCAACAUGCCACUGUUCUUUCAGUUGUUAUUCACCCACUGUGAUUUAUUCUAGAAAAGACUCUAAACUGCAAUAUUCAAUCAAUAAACAAAAUAUUAGAGUGGCACCUUGAUGGACCAAUUACAGGAAGGUAAUUGUAAAAAUGUGCUUUUAUUUCUUCUAGACAUUGUGUGCAGAAGUGAUAAAGUGGACUUCACAUUACUGAAGUCAAAUUAUGAUGAAUGAGAAUUCAUGCCAACAUUUCGGCAUGGUUUUGGCAACUAGCAGAUUUAUUAGCUGAUUAAAAAUAAAAGAUGAAGACACACUGCCUGUUGGUUCAUUGAAGAGCUACUUAAAUGCUAACAUAAUGGAACUAUUAUUUCUAAGAACUCUGAUUAAAUGUGAUAUUAUACUUCUACAGCAUCACUUUUCUUUCUGCAGUCUCACUGAAAAGGAUAAUCCAUUGUAGUAAUAUCAAUCUUUGUAGCUAAUACCAUCAAACUUCAAACCAGUUGAAUAUUUUACCUGAUGAAGUGAUGUGAUUAUAUGCAUUUUAAAUAGUUUCAGUUUUCACUGAUUCAUACAUAAAUCAAGAUGUCUUGCAAACAAAAUAAUAGUCUUUCUGCUUUCCUGUCAUUUCUAAGAUUGAUACGUAAGUUACCAGACUGCUACCUGUUACUUGUUUAUUUGAGGUUCUUAAAAUUCUUCCUAUUUGUACCUCUUUCCUUUCACUAACAUCAGGUUCUUCAGGUUAGCAUUAAUUUCUCCCAAAGAUUUUUAACUUGUACUAUUUUCCCUUUCAAGCCAAUGUAGAUUUUACUUGUACAAGACAGAUUUUAUCAGGAAUUUUGUGAUUGCUAAAAUAAUAAUGUGCUGUAAAGAGUUAGAUACUAUUAGAAUUUCCUGUAAUCACAUUUAUUGAGUUUAUUGUAAUUGAUUUGCAGAUUAAAAGGUCGUGUGGUGAUCUAAUAUGUCCUCUGAUAUGAUGUCAGUCCUUCCAAAGCUUCCAUUUAUCUUGAGGGACUGACAUGCAGCAGGGCAGGAGUAGCAGAAUUGAAUCUUGAUGUAAAACUUCCUAGAGACAUAAAGAAUAUAAUAAAACAUAUAAUCAAAUGUGAAAGUGACCUUUCUGCCACUUUUUCCUGACUCAUCCUUUCUUGUCUUCCUUUCUAACUCCUGUAACUCAGAGACUGUUACUUUGUUUUCUACAGUUGCACAGAUCCAGUGUUUUAUCUGACUUCAGUUGGCUACUGAGCAUCUAGUAGAGGUCUGAGUAAGAGGGAUCAGAGUAUUAGCAGAAAAACAAUGAACUGUGUAGUAAUUUUUCUUUGUUACUUGUAUUAGUAAUCUAAGGCAAGUUCUGCAAAAUACACAGGGAG